RNAcentral lists this non-coding RNA (39 nucleotides) under Schistosoma mattheei. Lineage: Eukaryota; Metazoa; Platyhelminthes; Trematoda; Strigeidida; Schistosomatidae. The record is from RNAcentral.
UGAGGAGUCCCACAAUAGGACGAAACGGCCGUCCAGUAU